This 397-nucleotide transfer-messenger RNA is filed under the name Draconibacterium aestuarii. RNAcentral's name for it is "Prolixibacteraceae bacterium Z1-6 transfer-messenger RNA". It matches the Rfam family "transfer-messenger RNA". Rfam says of the family: Bacterial tmRNA, also known as 10Sa RNA or SsrA, is named for its dual tRNA and mRNA-like properties. Lineage: Bacteria; Pseudomonadati; Bacteroidota; Bacteroidia; Marinilabiliales; Prolixibacteraceae. The record is from Rfam by way of RNAcentral.
GGGGCUGACUGGUUUUGACAGCGGGUAGAAGAGAUAAGUAAGCAUGUCGGGCUUUGAUCGUUGGCCCGUAAAUCUUAAUGAUCAAAACCAUAAUUGGCGAAAACAAUUACGCUCUUGCUGCGUAACCGAAUCAAGUAGGUUACACUUUAUCCCGGUACUAGGUACUGGGACGAGACAUCGCCCGGAUGCUAUUGCUUUGAAGCGGUCCGGUUCGGCGGUGCAAGUAAAUCGAAGCUAGUUGAAAUGAGGCUCUGGCAUUUCGGCGAAAUAAAAGAGAUAAGGUAGUAGUUGGUGGCUUUGAUCCGGGUGCUAUUCGAAAAUUAAAUCAGAGAUAAACAUGUAGAAAGCUUAUAGCUUCCUCGUUUGGACGCGGGUUCGACUCCCGCCAGCUCCACUU